RNAcentral lists this ribosomal RNA (255 nucleotides) under uncultured bacterium. RNAcentral's name for it is "partial 16S ribosomal RNA". It matches the Rfam family "Bacterial small subunit ribosomal RNA", at positions 524 to 776 of the family's 1533-position model. The record is from RNAcentral.
UACGGGGGGAGCAAGCGUUGUUCGGAUUUACUGGGCGUAAAGGGCGCGUAGGCGGUCGUGACAAGUCACUUGUGAAAUCUCCGGGCUUAACUCGGAACGGUCAAGUGAUACUGUCGGACUAGAGUACAGAAGGGGCAACUGGAAUUCUCGGUGUAGCGGUGAAAUGCGUAGAUAGUCGAGAGGAACACCUGCGGCGAAGGCGGGUUGCUGGGCUGAUACUGACGCUGAGGAGCGAAAGCGUGGGGAGCGAACAGG